Phacochoerus africanus (Common warthog) is the source of this 460-nucleotide long non-coding RNA. RefSeq lists it as uncharacterized. The record is from RefSeq and is a predicted model, not a curated record. The transcript is spliced from 2 exons. NCBI's taxonomy places the organism in Eukaryota, Metazoa, Chordata, Mammalia, Artiodactyla, Suidae.
UCUCAGCCUCUAUCGCUAGUGCUCUGUGCCGCUUCUUACACAAGCCACGUGUUCUUUCCCAGGGCCCAUGAGAAGACAGGGAGACACUUCUGUUCAGUGAGAGUCAAUCAGAAAUCCUUGUGGCCUUUCUACUGACAGCGAUCUGCAGAGGAUGCUUCCAAGUCAGGUGAGAGGUUGGAGGAUAAAAGAAACACACCUCCAGACAUUCUCCAGAUAAAAUAGCGCUCCAGUUUUCAUCCCAAAAGACCAAUUCUAUUGUUGUUGAAAAUAUAAGGACUUCAUCAUGGUUCAAGACUCAACAUCAAGUAGGCUUGGAUGAGUAAGACACAGACCUUGAACCUAACUUCCAACAAGGCAAUUGGAAGAGGAAGAAGAGAGGAUGUCACAGUCUAGUGCUGUGACAUCCCUUGACCUUUUACAUGCAUUUUGUUUUCUUUAUUAAAGUAUAUUUGAUUUACAA